Molecule: long non-coding RNA, 7375 nt
Organism: Homo sapiens (human)
Lineage: Eukaryota; Metazoa; Chordata; Mammalia; Primates; Hominidae
Exons: 2
Source: RefSeq, a predicted model, not a curated record
AAAAAAAAAAAAAAAAGAAAGAAGAUAUUCCUAAUUUUGAAAUGCCCUGUGACACCCUGACAUUUUCUUACAUACUCUUUAAAAAAUAUUAAUAAUAAAAAAUAGAGUUUGCCUUUCAGUUUUAGUUAUGGUAUAUUCUGACAUACACAUACUUACAUUUUCAUUUUAUCAGAUCAUUUUUUUCUUUCUUUUUAUGUUCAGAAACUCUGUGAGACUCCAAAUACUACAAUGUUGGGGUUCUUAAAACAGCCAGGGACUCCAGCAUACAGCACCCUCCGUUCCUCCUCUGGAAGUGCUUUUCACCUGUAGCUAUUAGAGUUCUCAGUUGAAAACAACAGAAACCAACUUUGGUUAACUUAAACAUAAAAGGAAUUGAUUGCAAAGAAACCCAAUAAUGAGAAGGCUUGAGCAUCGGGGUCAGAAGAUGGGCAGGAGAUGAGUGAGGCUGCGCAGCUGCAGCUGGAAUCAUGGCCUGGGCCUGGCACAGGGUCAGUUUGUUGUGGGGCCUGCUGCUGGGUCACCACCUCUGUCACUGCCACCACUGAGCCCUUGGCUAUCUGUGUUCUGUAGUUUAAUAAUAAAAUGUAUGUAAAAAUUUUAGGGUUAAAAAUUACCAUGACACUGUACUAUUAAAAAUUCUACUAACCUCUGUUUUCAAAUUGUCUUCCCCCAACUUCCCCCAAAUUGUCACAUGAGAACAGACAAUAGACUACAUCACAUGACAGGAAGUGGUGCUUUUAGGGCAGAAGUGAGUAUUGGAAGUCCUUUCCUGCCCUACUGAAGCCUGAACAAUAUUGGGUAUGGCAUGUUUAAUGUUACAAUAUACCUCAUGUCCUGAUGAGUCAUGGGACCGUCAUUUGAACUGCUGCUUGUGCUGUGAAAAAUUUCUCAAGUUCACUGUGCCCUUACAUGACUGUCUCAAGGUCCAGAGCGGGACAUGGAGAUGGCAGAACCUAAGUCACAUGCUAGUGCCUUCUUUGUAAGGCUUCCCAAAAGUGUGCCCUGCCCCCACCUCCUCUGGGAUUUCCCCCACAGUAGAAAGGGGGUUUGGAUGCUGGAGAGUCAAAACAGAAGACUUCAUAGUGCACCUAUUUGCCCUUGCUGAUACCCAGUGGUCUCCCACCUGCUUUGCAUUCCGGCCAAGUGACUGCUGCUGCUCUCCAAUCUCCAUGACCACAUCUGGGCAGGGGUGAGGUCAGCGUUCCUUUUAUCCUUACUGCUAUUUCAAAACCUUUGUUUCCUCCUCAUGUUAGAUCUUUCUGGAGGCUCAUGCCAUCUGGCUAGAAUGUCCUUUAUACCAUUGUAGUUGGGGUUAUUUAUUAUCUCUUCCACGUUCAUUAGGAAUGUCAUCUAGCUCCCCAUUCUGGUUCUAUCUUUGUCCUGAGUGUGACUUUAACAUAUUUAUGCCUUAAUCGUCUAACAUUUGACUUUAUAAUUAAAGUUGAUCUUAUAGUUGGCUUUACAGUUAUGAGUUGGCCUCCAUUUUAAUCCUAUAGACAACUUUAAUUUAAUGUUAAACUGAAUUUACCAUCUAUCCAUUCCAAACCUGCCUCUAUUCCUGAAUUCUUAGUUAACAGCAUGACUAUCCUCCAAGUUUCCCAAGCCAGGAAUCAGUGAGUCAUUCUGACUCCUCUUCCUUUCUGGGCAUCUAAUACCCAAUCUAGUUACUGUAGAUACCACAUCCUUAAAAAUCUCGAAUCCAUUUCUUGUCUUUAUUUGUCUUAACCAUUGCCUUAGUACAAGUUUAGAUUUCUUUUCAUGUGGUUAACUGUAAUAUCCUUCUGACUUAUUUCUAUUUUUAAAAUGCAUUCUCUUCAAUCUAUUCCCACAUGCCAAAGUAAUCUUCCUAAAACAAAUCUGAUCAUCUCAUUCUUUCCCUGAAAUCCUUUUGUGGCUCCCUUAGGUCUCAGAAUAAAAAUAAAAUUCAUCCUUUUAAAUAAAAGUCUGACCUUGAUAUGACCUUUGACUAUUUCUGUGAUUCAACUACUGUAUUUCCUGUUAGGUGAAUUUUGUUCUAGACAAAUAUAGAAUUCUCCAAAUUGGUGUUUUACUCUCUUUGCUUCUUUUCUAUGUUCAUGCCUAUUAACAUUUUAUUUUAUUUUUUGUUUUUAUUUUUAUUUUUAUUUUUUGAGACAGAGUCUUGCCCUGUUGCCCAGUCUGGAGUGCAGUGGUGUGAUCUCGGCUCACUGCAACCUCUGCCUCCUGGGUUCAAGCAAUUCUCAUGCCUCAGCCUCCAGAGUUGCUGGGAUUACAGGCAUGUGCCGCCACGCCUGGCUAAUUUUUGUAUUUUUGAUAGAGAGAGAGUUUUGCCAUAUUGGCUAGGCUGGUCUUGAACUCCUGACCUCAAGUGAUCCACCCGCCUUGGCCUCCUAAAGUGUUGGGAUUACAGGUGUGAGCCACCGCGCCCAGCCCUCCUAUUAACGUUUUAAAACUCAACGUAAUUUUUGAGUGAUAUAUUAUAGGCAGGUAAUAUUUUUGAGAUUUUUAGUAUGGACUUGUGAUCCAAUUUGGAGCCAGCAGAGGCAUUAUCUGGGACUUUUCUCCUGAAGGAGCAGGAAAGGCCGUAUUUUGCCUUUCAGGUUAGGGUGCUGUAAAGAUGUGAACCUGGGGUUCCUACCACUUGGAGUAGGAACUCACGGAGUAGGGUACUCAUGACAGAAAGAAUGACAUCUAUGUCUAGAGGGAAGCAGAGAUAAGGACUAGUGCAAGGGAGUAUGAGAGUAAGAAACCAAGUCUUGGUGACAUUAUUUGGGUCCUGGAUCUAUUGUGCUUGAUGUGAGAUCUAUUCUGGUUCUUUCUAGUUAUUCGCUGAUUAAAUCCAUUCCUCCACUUUUUCACUCCAACUAGAAUGAUUUAGCUUUUAUCACUUGAGAUCAAAAAAGUCCACGGAAAUCCAAUAGAAUCAAAGAAUUAAGAUUCUUUAUAAUUGUAGUUUUUGACAUGUUGCUUCUAGCUAGUAUUAUUUUGACAGAUGGUUUUCAUGGGAAACCUAGAGGCUUGUGUAUAUGUAUGUGUUAACUUUUAAGUCUACAUAAAGAGGGCUGUACUAAAGAGUAGCUCAGACUUUGCCUGAAUUAGCACUGGAAGUAUAAAAAGGGAAAGCCUAAGUGUCUUUUUAGAAAGCUUAUUUGUAAUUUUAUAUCAUUUAGCCUAACCGUUCUCAACUCUGGCUGUACAUUACAUGCAUCUAAUAAUUUUUUUUUUUUUUUUUUUUUUUGAGAGAGAUGUCCCAAUAUGUUGCCCAGGCUGAUCUUCAACUCUUGGGCUCAAGGGAUCCUCCUGUUUCAGCCUCCUGAGUAGCUGGAAUUAUAAGUGUGCACCAUUGUCCCGGCAAUGCCUGUGACUCUCCCAGACAAAGUAAACAGAAUGUCUGGGGAUGGGAGACAAGCAAUGGUUUUUUGUUGUUUUUUUUUUUGAAGCUUCUCAGGUUUCUACUUUCAACAAGGGUUGAGAACCACUGAUCUAACAUAAUAUUUUUCCUCUUUCCUUUGAGGAGUUCAGGUUACUCACACAUGGCAUCUGUUGGCCUCUUUUGCUCAAUGUAAUGUUCCCUGUAGUGAGCAUAACAUUAGAAACUAAGUUGCUGGCUUUCAUGUUGUUUUCUAGGUUGACAUUAAUUUCUGCAAAACUGGCCAGGAACAUGUGAUUGAGCACGCCAGACCUUUAUUUCUUAACGUAAUAAUGUGGCUAUAAAUGCAAGUCUCUAUAAACUAAGUUACUCUAAAUUGUCUUGCUUAGAUUUGUAUUUUCUGAGAUUUAUCUUGAUAAGAGCUUUAUUUAAAAAAAGUGACACUAGAAGUAAAGAGAAUAUAACUUUCAGUAAUAAAACUGAUGCAAAAGAAAACCAUUAGAACGAUACUAAAAUAAACUCAACUGAUGUAAUUAUGUGUUUAAUCUGUGGACAAAAAUGUUCCUUAGAUUCAGAUGUACAUUUUAGUCUAUUUUCCCUAAGAGUUCACCAACAUUUCCAUAUUAAAAGCAGUUUCUGUCCAAGGUUAAAAGUAUAUUCAGUUUUUGAUGAUGUAUCUGAUUAAAGACAGAUAAAUAUAUAUAUAUAUUUGUUUGUUUGUUUGUUUGUUUUUUGAAACGGAGUCUCACUGUCACCCAGGCUCUAGUGCAGUGGCACCAUGUAGGCUCACUGCAAUAUUCUGCCACAGAGGCUCAAGUGAUUCUCGUGCCUCAGCCUCCCCAGUAGCUGGGAUUACAGGUACCACCACGCCCAGCUAAUUUUUUUAUUUUUAGUAGAGAUGGGGUUUCACCAUGUUGGCCAGGCUGGUCUUGCACUCUUGCCUCAAGUGAUGUACUGCCUUGGCCUCCCAAAGUGCUGGGAUUACAGACAUGAGCCACUGUACCCUGCCAAAGGCAGAUACAUUUUUUCUUAAUUCCCAGUUUAUGACAGCUACCAGUUGCCUUUAGGUAUUAUAUAUACACAUACACAUAUUUGUUUUGUUUUACUCUAAUUGCAAUGGCAUUUAAAUAAAUCCACAGAAAAUGAUGGCUAGAAAGAAAACAAUAGAGAAAUGUAGAAAUUAAUUAAAUGUACUUAAUUCAUCAUACAAGCAUUUAACAGCAGGCUGGCAGGGUGCAAUGGCUCAUGCCUAUAAUCCCAGCACUCUGGGAGGCCCAGGUGGGAAGAUUGCUUGAGGCCAGAAGGUAAAAAUUAGCCUUGGCAACAUAUGAAGAACCCCUUUCUACAAAAAAAUUAAAAAAUUAGCCAGGUGUGUGGUGGUGUGUGCCUAUAGUCCCAGCUACUCAGGAGGCUGGGCAGGAGGAUCACUGAAGCCUAGGAGCUUGAGGCUGCAGUGAGCUAUGAUCACGCCACUGCACUCCAGCCUGGGCAACACAGUGGGACCUGGUCACAAACAAUCAAACACCCAGCACGCCUUCUUUGUGCCCAACAUGGCCUUCAGGCUGAGAGGAAUACAAUCCUGAUCAUCUGGAAUUUAUAGUCUAAUUGGAGAGAGAAGACAUAACAGAAAAAUUAAAUAAACUUACAGGAAGUAUGUGAUUGAAUGUCAGUCUGAAUGGUAAUGACAAUAAGUACUGUAUCUCAGAUAAGAGAUAUGUACAAAAUAAGCUUCCUAGAAGAUGUGAAAUGAUAAAGACUUUUUGGACUUUCUCUAUAGGCUUCAAUUCCCUGUGGUGGGUUUUUAGUUUCAUAUUUUGACAAGACUCAAAUCAGAAGCAAGUUCCCUUGUUUUGUUUUCACAAUCUACCUUUUUUAGAACAUUGUUUAGAAAGUUAUAUAUUGAGGGGUGAGCUGACAUUAUUUGACUAGAUUUCCAAAACUUAAAAUAUGUAGGUUAUAGUUUUAAAAAUUUGGAUUGAAUUUUGUUUAUCCCAGUUUCUUCUGAUAUAGUAGAAGGUUGUGCGAGCUCAUAGAGAAAUCUUGGCCGUUGGUCUAGAGGAUUGUUAGUGAGUGACAGGGCUCAGAUCCACAGAGCCUUUGGGGAAUGGCUAAUUAUUUUAACCUGGGGGCUCUCAUGAGCUUAUUGACAAGUAGUCAGACACUCUGGCCUUCCCUAGGCAUUUCCAGUUGCCCUUUCUAGUUUAUCUUACCUCUGCUCGGGAAUGGUAGCAACUGGAGGUGUCUCAAUCAUUACGAGUAAUUAAUGAUUGACUUUUCCGAUCCAUUAGAGUGCCUAUCCCACACAGAUGGCACAGUCACAUGUGACAAUUCUAGAGUGGAAGAGAAAGAAAUGAAAUGUGGUGAACAAUUGCACCUGUCUAAUAUCCUAGUUUUUUUGUGCUUCUAAGGGUGUGUCUAAUGGAAACAUUAUUUACCACAUGUGUCCUGGUGCCAAAAAGGUACAAAACAAUUGUUCUAGUAUAAGGAUAGAGAUAGUUCUUCUAGCAUAAGGAUAGAGAUAUUUCUUCUAGCAUAAGGAUAGAGAUAUUUCUUCUAGCAUAAGGAUAGAGAUAUCUCUUCUAGCAUAAGGAUAGAGAUAUUUCUCUAUCCUUAUACUUACUGGGAAAGAAAGCUCCCCUCCUCUUUUUUUUGUCUGGGUCUAAAUCAACUUUUUGGUGGCUGGUCAAAAUCGCUUUCCUUUCAGCCACUUGAAUGCUGGUUCAAUUAGGCCCUUUCUCCUCAGGGCACCUAUCCCUUAUUAAAAAAUCACCUAAGUUGCCCUCGAUGUUUAACAAUGCCAUCCACUUCUAAUGACUUCUUACUGUUUUUUUUUUUCUCCUGAAAUUCUCUAGCUUUCUUUAUAUGUUUGCCUCUUUGCUUUCAUUCACUGUGGCUUUUUAUUUUGAUUCCUCCUCUGAGCAUCAACUUCUGGUCCACUGUCUCAAAUCAAUUCUAGUAUAUCUACCAACUAAUUACAUUUCAAUCCCUACAAUGUCAGGUACCUUGGGCUUUCUCAAAUUACUUUUGAUUUGGGGAAAGAAUUUAAAAAAAUGUUUCCACUGCAAUUAUUUAAUGAUUCAACCUUCAUAGAAACUUAAACUUCAGAGGAGCAAAUAGCCUCAACAGAGGACUAAUUAAGCUUCAUGUUACCCUGGCGAAGUAGGGAGAAUAAGUACGCAGUGAGGCUGCAAUCAUUUCCUCUGAAGUUCGAUUAAAAGCCAAGUUUUAAAAUGUUAGACCAGUGCUAAUCUGCAUGACUGCUUCGGGUUUCAUUUGAGAAAGAAUUGUGGUUGCAAACAUUAACACUAAAAUAUGUGAAUCUAUUUCCAUAAUCAGGGCCCUACGGGAUGGAGCCUAGAUUUAAUAUGGUUUUGGUGCUUACGUGUUUUCCACUACAUUGAUUAAUACUGUCCUCUCAUGUGGAACCCAAUCAGGAGCAACCUGCCAGAGGACUAUUUUCUAUAAAUUUAAGCUGAACUAAUAUCUGUGGAAAUCUUAAGACUAAAGAAGAGUUGAUGAAUAUACUACAAUUAAAGUUGCCUUGUAAAUUGAAGAAUGAAGCAGAGGAUAAUGAACAUAUUGAAAUGAUUCCACAUGUUUUAUGCAUGACACAUUUGUAAUUAAAACGGAUCCUGAAGCUACUCCCACUAAGUGCUCGGUACUGGGCUAGGACAUGCUGCUCACUAUUGUGAGUGAUCGCAGCAACUCAGUUUUGAAUAUUUAUAUAUGUUGAGGUGAAGGAUCUUCCUUGACUACAUCUGAGGAGUUGUGGAAUCCUCAGAAGUAAGUCCUUCUAACAACACACUACAGUAUGAUGCGUUUCUGAUCCAAGCUGCUGUGAAUCCAUGUCAGGAGAAACCUUCAGUUGUGUUUUAAUAAAUGAAAACACAGUAGGGCUGAGAAAUCUGCAGCUACCUGGAAAAAUAAACUCCUUCCCCCUUGGAAACUGCUAAUUUCUUAAAUAUCCACAUUUGCAUUUAGUUUUGGGAAUUUAUAUUGUUUCAAUAAAAAUGAGCAUAUUUGGUU